This 1581-nucleotide ribosomal RNA is filed under the name Mus spretus (western wild mouse). RNAcentral's name for it is "16S ribosomal RNA". It matches the Rfam family "Bacterial large subunit ribosomal RNA". The record is from RNAcentral. Lineage: Eukaryota; Metazoa; Chordata; Mammalia; Rodentia; Muridae.
GAACUAAUCCUAGCCCUAGCCUUCACAAAUAUAAUUACAUCAUUUCAUAAAUCAAAACAUUUAACCCACUAAAAGUAUUGGAGAAAGAAAUUCGUACAUCUAGGAGCUAUAGAACUAGUACCGUAAGGGAAAGAUGAAAGAUCAAUUAAAAGUAAAAAUAAGCAAAGAUUAAACCUUGUACCUUUUGCAUAAUGAAUUAACUAGAAAACUUCUAACUAAAAGAAUUACAGCUAGAAACCCCGAAACCAAACGAGCUACCUAAAAACAAUUUAAUGAAUCAACUCGUCUAUGUGGCAAAAUAGUGAGAAGAUUUUUAGGUAGAGGUGAAAAGCCUAACGAGCUUGGUGAUAGCUGGUUACCCAAAAAAUGAAUUUAAGUUCAACUUUAAACUUGCUAAAAAACAAUAAAAUCAAAAAGUAAGUUUAAAUUAUAGCCAAAAGAGGGACAGCUCUUUUGGAACGGAAAAAACCUUUAAUAGUGAAUAAUUAAUAAAUCAACCUUUAACCAUUGUAGGCCUAAAAGCAGCCACCAACAAAGAAAGCGUUCAAGCUCAACAUAAAAUUUUAACUAAUCUCACAAUUUACAUCAACUUCCUAAACUUAAAAUUGGGUUAAUCUAUAGUUUUAUAGAUGCAACACUGUUAGUAUGAGUAACAAGAAUUCUAAUUCUCCAGGCAUACGCAUAUAACAACUCGGAUAACCAUUGUUAGUUAAUCAAACUAUAGGCUAUACUUAUAAUAUAAACAAUUUACCUAUAACUACUCUGUUAACCCAACACCGGAAUGCCUUAAGGAAAGAUCUAAAAAGAUAAAAGGAACUCGGCAAACAAGAACCCCGCCUGUUUACCAAAAACAUCACCUCUAGCAUAACAAGUAUUAGAGGCACUGCCUGCCCAGUGACUAAAGUUUAACGGCCGCGGUAUCCUGACCGUGCAAAGGUAGCAUAAUCACUUGUUCCUUAAUUAGGGACUAGCAUGAAUGGCUAAACGAGGGUUCAACUGUCUCUUAUCUUUAAUCAGUGAAAUUGACCUUUCAGUGAAGAGGCUGAAAUACAAUAAUAAGACGAGAAGACCCUAUGGAGCUUAAAUUACACGACUUAUCUAUUCAUUUUAUAAACCUAAUGGCCCAAAAACUAUAGUGUAAGUCUGAAAUUUCGGUUGGGGUGACCUCGGAGAAUAAAAAAUCCUCCGAAUGAUUAUAACCUAGACCUACAAGUCAAAGUAAAAUCAACAUAUCUUAUUGACCCAAUACAUUUUGAUCAACGGACCAAGUUACCCUAGGGAUAACAGCGCAAUCCUAUUUAAGAGUUCAUAUCGACAAUCAGGGUUUACGACCUCGAUGUUGGAUCAGGACAUCCCAAUGGUGUAGAAGCUAUUAAUGGUUCGUUUGUUCAACGAUUAAAGUCCUACGUGAUCUGAGUUCAGACCGGAGCAAUCCAGGUCGGUUUCUAUCUAUUUACAAUUUCUCCCAGUACGAAAGGACAAGAGAAAUAGAGCCACCUUACAAAUAAGCGCUCUCAACUUAAUUUAUGAAUAAAUCUUAAUAAAAUAUGUAUGUACAUCCUCUAACCUAGAGAAGGUUAU